GAUGAACGCUGGCGGCGUGCCUAAUACAUGCAAGUCGAGCGAACGGACGAGAAGCUUGCUUCUCUGAUGUUAGCGGCGGACGGGUGAGUAACACGUGGAUAACCUACCUAUAAGACUGGGAUAACUUCGGGAAACCGGAGCUAAUACCGGAUAAUAUUUUGAACCGCAUGGUUCAAAAGUGAAAGACGGUCUUGCUGUCACUUAUAGAUGGAUCCGCGCUGCAUUAGCUAGUUGGUAAGGUAACGGCUUACCAAGGCAACGAUGCAUAGCCGACCUGAGAGGGUGAUCGGCCACACUGGAACUGAGACACGGUCCAGACUCCUACGGGAGGCAGCAGUAGGGAAUCUUCCGCAAUGGGCGAAAGCAUGACGGAGCAACGCCGCGUGAGUGAUGAAGGUCUUCGGAUCGUAAAACUCGGUUAUUAGGGAAGAACAGAUGUGUAAGUAACUGUGCACAUCUUGACGGUACCUAAUCAGAAAGCCACGGCUAACUACGUG
Molecule: ribosomal RNA, 497 nt
Filed under: uncultured bacterium
Lineage: Bacteria
Description: partial 16S ribosomal RNA
Rfam family: Bacterial small subunit ribosomal RNA
Source: RNAcentral